Molecule: transfer RNA, 77 nt
Filed under: Candidatus Saccharimonadota bacterium
Lineage: Bacteria; Candidatus Saccharimonadota
Description: tRNA-Asp
Rfam family: tRNA
About the family: Transfer RNA (tRNA) molecules are approximately 80 nucleotides in length.
Source: RNAcentral
GGGGCCGUGGUGUAGAGGCCUAACAUGCCUCCCUGUCACGGAGGAGAUCGCCGGUUCGAAUCCGGUCGGCCCCGCCA